This 406-nucleotide ribosomal RNA is filed under the name uncultured bacterium. RNAcentral's name for it is "partial 16S ribosomal RNA". It matches the Rfam family "Bacterial small subunit ribosomal RNA", at positions 30 to 526 of the family's 1533-position model. The record is from RNAcentral.
AUUGAACGCUGGCGGCAGGCCUAACACAUGCAAGUCGAACGAGUGGCGGACGGGUGAGUAAUGUCUGUGAAACUGCCCGAUGGAGGGGGGUAGCUACUGGAAACGGUAGCUAAUACCGCAUACCAUCGGAUGUGCCCCGAUGGGAUUAGCUCGUAGGUGGGGUAACGGCUCACCUAGGCGACGAUCCCUAGCUGGUCUGAGAGGAUGACCAGCCACACUGGGACUGAGACACGGGCCAUACUCCUACGGGAGGCAGCAGUGGGGAAUAGUGCACAAUGGGCGCAAGCCUGAUGCAGCCAUGCCGCGUGUAUGAAGAAGGCCUUCGGGUUGUAAAGUACUUUCAGCGAGGAGGCGUUACUCGCAGAAGAAGCACCGGCUAACUCCGUGCCAGCAGCCGCGGUAAUAC